GGUUAAGUUAGAGCGUAGUUGGUUCUCCCGUUUCCCUGUGGAUACGAUAAAACCUUUAACCGGGUAAAAGCUACAACGGUAUCCGUGCGCUUGCGGAUUUAUUUGUGUGCGUAUAAAUACCAUAGUACACUCUAGUGCCAUGCUGGGGAUGACAACCUAGUAUUCAAGUGGUGUUAGCAAGUGUCAACAAGCUUUUUGACGCC
RNAcentral lists this long non-coding RNA (203 nucleotides) under Sorghum bicolor (sorghum). RNAcentral's name for it is "long non-coding RNA (SBIC_LNC000776)". Lineage: Eukaryota; Viridiplantae; Streptophyta; Magnoliopsida; Poales; Poaceae. The record is from RNAcentral.